Andrographis paniculata is the source of this 2402-nucleotide RNA transcript. It is a transcript of the gene named membrane-bound O-acyltransferase gup1, with no coding region annotated. The transcript has 20 exons. The record is from RefSeq and is a predicted model, not a curated record. Lineage: Eukaryota; Viridiplantae; Streptophyta; Magnoliopsida; Lamiales; Acanthaceae.
CAAAACAGUAGUGUCAUUCCUUCGGUGCAUUUUUCAACUGCCCAGCAUCGACUCCACUCCAUUCUUGAAUGGGAAUCGCCGUUUCUCUAAUUUGAUUUUGCUAUCCCACGAGGGUAUUGCCAAACCCAGCAAUGAAGAGCAAUUCUUGGCGGCAGAAAGAGCUCAUAUUUCUCGUUCUUUACGCUCUCGUUUUCUACAUAGUUGUCAUUCGUCGCUCUCUCCGCCUUUCCCACGAUCAUUACGCCAAGCUUAAUGGUUUACGCGCCGGCUGGAUUGCUGGUCGACUUAACGACAUCUCUGAUUCCCAAUGGAGAAAUUUUAGGGGAAACAUAACAAUACUCUCUGUAGUUUUCGGGAUCUUUACGUCGAUUGCAAAUGUGCUUAGAAAAGUAUUUUGUUUGAAAGCGAAUGGGAUGUCUAUGGUCUGGCUUUUGAUUUCUUUGGCUUAUCUGUCUUAUCUGCACGAAGCCUGCAUCAUAUUCGUCAUCUGUAUUGCUUCAGCUAAUUUUUUCCUUGUGAAGAUAUUGGGAGGGACAAAAUGCUUCUCAAUCGUGCUUUGGGGUUUUAACUUAUCAUUUCUUGUAUGCAAUCGUAUUUAUGAGGGAUAUCAAUUCUCCAGUUUUGGCUGGGCUUACUUGGAUAAUUUUCGAGGCACCUUCAGAUGGCAUAUCUGUUUUAACUUUGUUGUUCUGCGAAUGAUAAGCUUUGGGUAUGACUACCAUUGGGCUGAUCAAUGUCAUCGUAUUGAUGAAGAGAAGCAUAUUCAGCGUUGCAGCUAUUGCUCAUCAAGCAAGACAUGCUAUCUGCUCUUACAGGAGAGAAGAGUUGCAAACGACAAGUUCACAUUUCCAAUUUACUUGUCGUAUUUGUUCUAUGCACCUCUUUACAUUGCUGGACCGAUUAUCAGCUUCAAUGCAUUUGCUUCACAGUUGGAUUCACCCCAGAACAUGUACUCAUCCCGAGAAGUGGCUUUGUAUGGGAUUCGUUGGGUUUUUAGUCUUUUCCUAAUGGAAUUGAUGACCCAUUUCUUCUACUAUAAUGCCUUUGCUAUUAGUGGUAUGUGGAGGCAACUGUCUCCCAUGGAUGUCUUCAUUAUUGGUUAUGGGGUUCUAAACUUCAUGUGGCUGAAAUUUUUUCUGAUGUGGCGCUACUUCCGAUUCUGGUCGCUGGUUAAUGGCAUUGUGGCUCCUGAGAAUAUGCCAAAGUGUGUGAACAACUGCCACAACUUGGAAAAUUUUUGGAAAAAUUGGCAUGCUUCAUUCAACAAAUGGCUUGUUAGGUAUAUAUAUAUACCUCUUGGGGGUUCUCACAAGAAAAUACUGAACGUUUGGGUAAUCUUCACCUUUGUUGCUGUCUGGCAUGACUUAGAGUGGAAGCUUCUUUCUUGGGCUUGGUUGACAUGUAUAUUUUUCAUUCCUGAAAUGCUUCUAAAAUCAGCAGCGAAUGCCUUUCAGGUUAAAGGUGCUUCUGGGGAAUUUUUUUUCCGUGAACUUAGUGCUAUAGCUGGUGCAGUAACUAUAACCUGUUUAAUGGUUGCCAAUCUUGUAGGAUUUGUAAUUGGGCCAUCCGGCAUUAAUUGGUUGGUUUCUGUCUUCCUCAAAAGAGAAGGUUUGCCCACACUUGGCUGGUUGUUACUUUCGUUUUAUAUUGGAACCAAGCUUAUGUUUCACAUCUCUGAUGCCAAGCAACGGAAGGACCAGAGAAAUCGAUAACAUCAAGGUCUUCACUUUGUCUAGCUUCAUAUCUUCUUAUGAGCAAGUUCAAUGAUGUACUCUGCAGGUGCUGACAUGACAUGAAUGCGCACUAUGUUACUUUCUUGAGACUCUGGUUUUUGACAUUCCGUUGGAAUACAGUGGACAGGUCUGUUAACAUAGAAAUCAGGUACUUAUUAUUGGUGGAACGGGAAUGGAAAUUUAUAUGCGAUCGCUCAUUGCUGCUCAUCGAUUAAUAUUCAUUGCAUUGCAUUGCAUUGCAUCUUAUCUUAAGAGAGUUUGGUAUGAUGGCGUUGUUUAUUAUAGUGAGUCGUUUUAAGAGUAGAAUAGAAUGAGAUAUGGUUCUGCCAGGUAAGGUUGCUUUGGAGACACUGAUCCACAUAGAAUUUCCUCAUCUAAAACUUACUUCAUUUGGAAUGAAUUCUUGGACAUCCCUUUGAAGAAUUGUCUGUCUCUAUAUAUCCCUAUCAUCGUAAGCAGCAAUUUGUUAUGUUAUCAUGUCGUCAUCAUUGUCCUUGUUCUUUCCUGAAAUCAAUGGACAGCUCGUUCUUGUUAGCUUGAUCUGAUCUUUUGUGGUUUUUCUUCUGCAACAUACAUAUAUACAUCAGAAUACCAUGUUUGUUCAACUUGUAUCCUUUUUGGGACAUUAUUUAUGUUGGUUUGCUGCUUUAAGGUUUUCCAAAUAUGUAU